Molecule: long non-coding RNA, 702 nt
Organism: Ctenopharyngodon idella (grass carp)
Lineage: Eukaryota; Metazoa; Chordata; Actinopteri; Cypriniformes; Xenocyprididae
Exons: 3
Source: RefSeq, a predicted model, not a curated record
AGAUUAAUGGAAUAAUCCUUAUUCAUGUUCGCGCUGGGCGGCUGGAGCGCGGCCCUCUUGCUCAGAUAUCGGACCGAGGAUGGGGGACACAUGGAGCCUCUUCACCGGUGCCGCUGCUCGCUGGAGGAGGAUGGCGGAGCGGCGGUCCGUCUGAUCAGCUGCUGCUCAGGGGCCAUGAUGGGUCACGUGAGGAGCCCAGAGAACACCACACCAAAGGACUGGAUGGAUUAGUUUGAAGGCAAACACCUGACACAUGAUCAGAGCUGGGAUAGGAAUGACUUCUGGACCUUUUGUGGAGAAAUUCCAGCUCCUCUAAAUGGCCGAAGGGUGUGUUUCCAAAGGCAGAAGGAAUCAUUCAACUCCACAGGCAUUGUGACUCACAUCUUGGGCAGCUCAUCUGAAUAUAUCACAUCUGUCAGAGUGACCUGAUUCACUGGAAUGAUCAAGUCUUAGCCUGAGUCACCACCACAGACCACUGAAUAAACGCAACAUGACACCAGGGCAUAUUCCUCACCAUAAAGUUUCCCUUUCAGUUAAGGUGUUUUUGAGGGGGCUGGUGGUGGUACAUUGUCAUACAGGGGGCCUUGGCAAACUACCAAAGGGGGAGCAGGAUGAUUUUUAAAAAAAUUAAGAUUAUUAUUAUUAAAAGAUAUAAUAUAAAAUUAUAAUAAUAAAUGUAAAUGUACACUACCAGUCAAAAGU